Molecule: ribosomal RNA, 252 nt
Filed under: uncultured Bacteroidales bacterium
Lineage: Bacteria; Pseudomonadati; Bacteroidota; Bacteroidia; Bacteroidales
Description: partial 16S ribosomal RNA
Rfam family: Bacterial small subunit ribosomal RNA
Source: RNAcentral
UACGGAGGAUGCGAGCGUUAUCCGGAUUUAUUGGGUUUAAAGGGUGCGUAGGCGGGACCUUAAGUCAGCGGUAAAAUUGCGGUGCUCAACGCCGUAGAGCCGUUGAAACUGGGGGCCUUGAGUGGGCGAGAAGAAGGCGGAAUGCGUGGUGUAGCGGUGAAAUGCAUAGAUAUCACGCAGAACCCCGAUUGCGAAGGCAGCCUUCCGGCGCCCUACUGACGCUGAAGCACGAAAGCGUGGGUAUCGAACAGG